This 333-nucleotide long non-coding RNA is filed under the name Cavia porcellus (domestic guinea pig). RNAcentral describes it as "lncRNA (ENSCPOG00000034905.1)". Lineage: Eukaryota; Metazoa; Chordata; Mammalia; Rodentia; Caviidae. The record is from RNAcentral.
CUGUUUUCACAUGGUCUUUCUAUUGGCGUUUUAGGGCAACAGGACCAUCUGCAGGAUUCCCAGCAGUCAAGACCCAGCUGCCCCCUGUCUCCUGUCAUUGGUCAAGGAGAUGAGCAGCAGGAAAGAGCAGAAAAGGAGCUUUAAUCAGCAGGCCAUGCUGGGAAGUGCAAAGAAUUCCAAGAUCUGUCUUCGAGAAGUUGAUAGAAAUGUAGGGAUUCAUGGAAAAGGGGAACAAAGUUUCAUGCCACUUUACUGGGAAGAAACUGGGCUUGAACCUGAACCCGCGCCAUAUUUCUUGUGGAAAACUACUGCAUCGCUUUGAAAUGCAAUCUU